Molecule: ribosomal RNA, 253 nt
Filed under: uncultured bacterium
Lineage: Bacteria
Description: partial 16S ribosomal RNA
Rfam family: Bacterial small subunit ribosomal RNA
Source: RNAcentral
UACAGAGGGUGCAAGCGUUGUUCGGAAUUAUUGGGCGUAAAGCGCGUGUAGGCGGCUUUGCAAGUCGGGUGUGAAAGCCCUCAGCUCAACUGAGGAAGUGCGCCCGAAACUGCAGAGCUUGAGUACCGGAGAGGGUGGCGGAAUUCCCGGUGUAGAGGUGAAAUUCGUAGAUAUCGGGAGGAACACCAGAGGCGAAGGCGGCGACCUGGAAGGUAACUGACACUGAGCAGCGAAAGCGUGGGUAGCAAACAGG